AUUGAACGCUGGCGGCAGGCCUAACACAUGCAAGUCGAGCGAGCGGCGGACGGGUGAGUAAUGUCUGGGAAACUGCCUGUUGGAGGGGGCUAACUACUGGAAACGGUAGCUAAUCCCGCAUACCAUCGGAUGUGCCCCGAUGGGAGUAGCUAGUAGGUGGGGGAACGGCUCACCUAGCCGACGAUCCCUAGCUGGUCUGGGAGGAUGACCAGCCACACUGGAACUGAGACACGGUCCAGACUCCUACGUGAGGCAGCAGUGGGGAAUAUUGUACAAUGGGCGAAAGCCUGAUGCAGCCAUGCCGCGUGUGUGAAGAAGGCCUUCGGGUUGUAAAGCACGUUCAGCUGGGAGGCGUUACCCGCAGAAGAAGCACCGGCUAACGCCGUGCCAGCAGCCGCGGUAAUAC
RNAcentral lists this ribosomal RNA (406 nucleotides) under uncultured bacterium. Its description in RNAcentral is "partial 16S ribosomal RNA". It matches the Rfam family "Bacterial small subunit ribosomal RNA", at positions 30 to 526 of the family's 1533-position model. The record is from RNAcentral.